UCUGCCUUGCAACCAAGUCGGGCUGCUGUUUGAAACAAUUCAUCAUCAUUUAUAUUUACACCACUAAGAGCUGAUUUCUCCCAAUUAAUCUUCUGCCCCGAACACCAUUCAAAAAGUCUAAUGGCAUCCUUCAACUUGAGAAGCAUUUGAUCAUCAUACUUGCAAAAAAGUAGGGUGUCAUCAGCAAAUUGGAGUAGGGGAAGAUGGAUUGAAUCCUUACCCACAAGAAAACCCUCAUAUUGCCCAUUAAAGUGAAGAUUAUUGAUGAUUGCUACCAAAACUUCACUUACUAGAAGGAAAAGAAAGGGAGAAAUGGGGUCCCCUUGGCGGAUGCCUCUUGAAGCUAUAAUGCGGCCCCUUGGUUUUCCAUUAAUAAAUAUUGAGAAUUUAGGGUUCUUUAAGCAACCCAUCAUCCAAGCAGUCCAUUUGGCACUGAAUUUUUUCUGGCGUAAAACCUUUUCAAGGAAGUUCCAAUCCACUCGAUCAAAGGCCUUUUCAAGGUCAAGCUUCAAGAUCCAACCCUUUUCUUUUUUGCCCUAUAAUCUUCUACAGCCUCGUUAGCAAUUAAUAUAGGGUCAAGUUUUUGUCUUCCUUCUAUAAAAGCACUUUGGUAAGGGCUGAUGAUUGAGUCCAUUAUAGAUUUUAACCGUUCUGCUAGGACUUUAGCUACUACCUUAUAAGAUAGGGUAGUGAGACUGAUUGGACGAAAAUCUUUCAUUUCCAAGACCAAUUCUUUUUUCUGUACAAGGUAAAUGAAAUUUUCUUUCAUACAAGCAUUCAAUCUACCAUUGCUGUGAAAAUCUUUCAACAAGGCUUCAAAAGUAUCUUUGAAAAUAGGCCAAUGCUUGAUGAGGAAUUCCACGGUAAAACCGUCGGGCCCUGGGGCUUUGUUCCUGCCAAGAGCUUUUAUGCCAAAAAUGUUUCUUCUGUUGGAAACUGGGAAGUUAGUGCAGCAUUCUGAGCUUGAGUGAUACAAGGCCAAUCAAUGAUGAGAGGGAUGGAUCUAUUACCUGGGAUUUUAGUAUCAAGACUACCAAAGAAGAAAACGGUGGAAAAACCCAGAAUUUUCAUCCCCAACAGAUAGCCAAUUAAGCUUGCUUUUCUGAAUAAGGUUGCGCUCUUCAAGAUGGUAAAUACUAAGUAAUUCUGCUGGUAAUGCUGAUCUGAAUACACACUCGUCCUCAUUUAGGCGUAUCAAAUCUGCUAUAGUGUCACAAAUUUCCAGCUCCGCAAGGAUAGAUUUUUCUUUUUCUUUAAGCUUGGCCUACGUAGUGGAAUGCCAAAUUUUAACAGCUACCUUUAUCUUUCUCCAUUGCUCAUGUAGAAUAAAACCAGCCCAUCCAUGGUGAGUGAAGUUGGUUACUGUUUCUUCAAUUAAAAGGUUACACUCAUUGGACAACAGCCAGCUGUUGCAAAACCGAAAGGGAGAGGGACCCCAGAUGAUGGCACCAGCUUCUAAUAAAAUGGGGAAAUGGUCUGAGAAGAUGGCGGCGGGUUUUGCGAGAGACCCGGAGUUUUCAAGAAGGUUAUCCCAAUCUUUGUUUAUAAAGAACCCUAUCAAGCAAUGAUCUGGAAAGGGAACUACCAUCCAUUGACCAAGUGAACCUCCCAUUUUGUAGGGGUAAUUCCGUGAGAUUAACUGCUGCAAUGAAUUUAUUAAAAUGAUGCAUGCUUCUUGUGUUUCUGCCGAAAGGGGAUCUUUCAUGAGCCCAUCUUGUAAUGUUAAAAUCUCCACCUAAACACCAUGCCUCAGCUGUAAGUGCUGACAGUUCUGGCCAAAUCAGUUUUCUUUCACUAUAUCCGCAGGGUCCAUAAACAUUAGUGAUCCAGAAGAUCUGAUUACUUAGGGAGAGAUAUUUUAUUGACAAGGAAAAUCUCCCUUUAAUCACCUGUAUAACAGAAAUUAUACUACUGUCCCACAUUGUUAAAAUUCCUCCGGAGGCACCUAAUGAUUCCACGAAUUCCCAGCCGAUGUCUCUAGAGCUCCAUAUUGAUUUUAUAAUGACAGAAUUGAUGACUUCCAUUUUUUAUUCUUGUAUCAAGACAACAUCCGGAUGAUGAUUUUUUAUGAAUUUCUUCAAUGCUGCUCUUUUUGUGAUGUCAUUUAAACCCCUAGUGUUCCAAGAGAUUAUCUUCAUUAGGCUAAUGAGAGGGGAGACGACUUAUCAAUCUUUCAUUAAACCAAGAUGAUGCCACAAUCAUUGACUGAGGGCAGCAGAUCCAUUGGCAAUUCUGAGGGAACUUUAAUUGGAACAACACUUGCUUCAUCAAAUAGGGAAGAUAGGUCAGCCCCUUCGAUUUCUUCAUUAUUCUUGAAAUUGAAACCAUUUGGAAACCCCAAGGACUCCUGACUACUGACACUAAAUGGAGACUCCAAGGUUUUGGAGGUCGGCUUGUCAAUGGCGGCACGACAAGGGGAGCCUCUUAACUUUACAGUUAAUAUUGGGGAGUUUUGAGUAUUUGAAGUGCUUGAUAGGAGAGCAUGAAUUUACUGACCUGGAAAGAAUUAGAAGUCUGAAUUUUGGAGCUGCAAACCUCCAAAAGGUCAGGAUUGUUUGCUGAAAUAGAAGGCUUUAAGUUGUGCGUCCGAGGGGGGGCUGAAGAUGGAAUUUUUAUGUCACAACCUCCAUUCAAUUCAGACUUCAAUAAGGCAGUCCAUAAAUUUGUUAAUAGCAUUGAAUUGUUUAAAUUACUUUGCUCAUACCAUUGAGACUUCUCCUAUACCUUGUUCUUAUAGUUCUGACAAACCUGCAAUGCAUGGUUUUUGAGGUAGGAAUAUCUUUGUUUUCUUGGCCCUUCUUGCUAAUCUUGUUUAGCCUUGGUUUGUGUUAGAAUUAGUGGGCUUGUUGUGUGUUGAAAGCCCAAGGGUAUUUUUGUAAUUUAUGUUACCCUAAUUAUUCUAUCCUCUUUUAAUUAGGCUCUUGUGUCUAUUAAGUUUCCCCUAUUGUAUCAUUUUGUUGCAUAAGAAAAUAAUAAGAAAUUCUCUACUGUGGUUUUUCUUCUUGUA
This is a long non-coding RNA of Cucumis sativus (cucumber), 3007 nucleotides long. RefSeq lists it as uncharacterized. The record is from RefSeq and is a predicted model, not a curated record. The transcript has 2 exons. NCBI's taxonomy places the organism in Eukaryota, Viridiplantae, Streptophyta, Magnoliopsida, Cucurbitales, Cucurbitaceae.